CGAAUUCCUCCCACAUCUGAAAAACCUUGACCACCUCUCAUCGCCACUGCCGCCUUCGCCGCGCCGGCCACCGCUUUCACCGCACCGCCAUUUGCCAACCUCCAUUUCCCUCUUCCCCGCGAUUCUGCGAUCUGCCACCUCCUUUCGAAUCGACUCGCCAAGAAUCUAAAAAUCAUCAAAACCCGUCGCCCCCAUCGCAAUUCGCCACAACUCCCAUUGCCGCCUUCGACUGUCACAGUCGCGAUUCGAUCUGCCCCUUCCACCUUCUCCGAUGCCAUCGAUCUUCUCCGAUGCCAGCGAUAUUUCCAUCCCCCGGCGAUCUGCCCUCCCGGUGAUUCCACCCACCGGCCGCAGCCUCGAUGAGAUCUGCCCCUUCCACCUUUUUCGAUGCCACCUCCAUUUCCAUCCCCCCGAUGAUCUGCUCUCCCGGCUUCCCCCCUAUCUACAGAAUCCGGCGGUCGCCAAUGCCUCAAGACC
This 477-nucleotide long non-coding RNA is filed under the name Salvia miltiorrhiza (redroot sage). RNAcentral describes it as "long non-coding RNA (SMIL_LNC007909)". The record is from RNAcentral. Lineage: Eukaryota; Viridiplantae; Streptophyta; Magnoliopsida; Lamiales; Lamiaceae.